This 272-nucleotide ribosomal RNA is filed under the name uncultured bacterium. RNAcentral's name for it is "partial 16S ribosomal RNA". It matches the Rfam family "Bacterial small subunit ribosomal RNA", at positions 87 to 354 of the family's 1533-position model. The record is from RNAcentral.
CCCGGCGACCGGCGCACGGGUGAGUAACACGUAUGAAACCUGCCCGUAGCAGGGGGAUAAGCGGAAGAAAUUCCGUCUAAUACCGCGUAACAACCCAUGGAGGCAUCUCUGUGGGUUUAAAGGAAGCGAUUCCGGCUACGGAUGGUCAUGCGUCGCAUUAGCUUGUUGGCGGGGUAACGGCCCACCAAGGCGACGAUGCGUAGGGGUUCUGAGAGGAAGGUCCCCCCACACUGGUACUGAGACACGGACCAGACUCCUACGGGAGGCAGCAG